GGCUCGACGUGUGGCGGCCCGGAGACGACGACUACAUGGCUCCUCUGCAGUACGACAGACGGAAGCCGCGCCAGCGGAGGCCGGGCGCCGCGCCCCGGCUCCGGGGAGUGCUCAAGGCCCAGGACGCGGUGGCACACGCCCU
Pollicipes pollicipes is the source of this 142-nucleotide long non-coding RNA. RefSeq lists it as uncharacterized. The record is from RefSeq and is a predicted model, not a curated record. NCBI's taxonomy places the organism in Eukaryota, Metazoa, Arthropoda, Thecostraca, Pollicipedomorpha, Pollicipedidae. The transcript has 3 exons.